AUCGUACCUUGUUGCUUCGGCGGGCCCGCCGUUUCGACGGCCGCCGGGGAGGCCCUGCGCCCCCGGGCCCGCGCCCGCCGAAGACCCCAACAUGAACGCUGUUCUGAAAGUAUGCAGUCUGAGUUGAUUAUCGUAAUCAGUUAAAACUUUCAACAACGGAUCUCUUGGUUCCGGCAUCGAUGAAGAACGCAGCGAAAUGCGAUAAGUAAUGUGAAUUGCAGAAUUCAGUGAAUCAUCGAGUCUUUGAACGCACAUUGCGCCCCCUGGUAUUCCGGGGGGCAUGCCUGUCCGAGCGUCAUUGCUGCCCUCAAGCACGGCUUGUGUGUUGGGCCCCCGUCCCCCUCUCCCGGGGGACGGGCCCGAAAGGCAGCGGCGGCACCGCGUCCGGUCCUCGAGCGUAUGGGGCUUUGUCACCUGCUCUGUAGGCCCGGCCGGCGCCAGCCGACACCCAACUUUAUUUUUCUAAGGUUGACCUCGGAUCAGGUAGGGAUACCCGCUGAACUUAAGCAUAUCAA
RNAcentral lists this ribosomal RNA (515 nucleotides) under Aspergillus fumigatus. RNAcentral's name for it is "eukaryotic LSU rRNA". The stretch from base 145 to 298 matches the Rfam family "5.8S ribosomal RNA". The record is from RNAcentral. Lineage: Eukaryota; Fungi; Ascomycota; Eurotiomycetes; Eurotiales; Aspergillaceae.